Molecule: ribosomal RNA, 329 nt
Filed under: uncultured eukaryote
Lineage: Eukaryota
Description: partial 18S ribosomal RNA
Rfam family: Eukaryotic small subunit ribosomal RNA
Source: RNAcentral
CCCUUAGAUGUUCUGGGCCGCACGCGCGCUACACUGAUGCAUUCAACGAGUCUAAAACCUGCUCUGAUAGGGGUGGGUAAUCUUUUGAAUGUGCAUCGUGAUUGGGAUAGAUGAUUGCAAUUUUUCAUCUUCAACGAGGAAUGCCUAGUAAGCGCAAGUCAUCAGCUUGCAUUGAUUACGUCCCUGCCCUUUGUACACACCGCCCGUCGCUCCUACCGAUUGAAUGAUCCGAUGAAUAUCAUGGAUUGAGGAUGCAAGUAGGUUAGCCUAUCUUCAUCUUCGAGAAGUGAAGUAAAUCUUAUCAUUUAGAGGAAGGAGAAGUCGUAACA